This 483-nucleotide ribosomal RNA is filed under the name uncultured bacterium. Its description in RNAcentral is "bacterial SSU rRNA". It matches the Rfam family "Bacterial small subunit ribosomal RNA", at positions 28 to 507 of the family's 1533-position model. The record is from RNAcentral.
GAUGAACGCUAGCGGCAGGCCUAACACAUGCAAGUCAGGGGGCAUCACGGAUUGCUUGCAAUCUGGUGGCGACCGGCGCACGGGUGCGUAACGCGUAUACAACCUACCUUUUGGAGGGGAAUAGCCCAGAGAAAUUUGGAUUAAUACCCCAUAGUAUAUAGGAAUCUCCUGAUUUUUAUAUUAAACAUUUAUGGCCAUUAGAUGGGUAUGCGUCCUAUUAGCUAGUUGGUGUGGUAACGGCACACCAAGGCUACGAUAGGUAGGGGUCCUGAGAGGGAGAUCCCCACACUGGUACUGAGACACGGACCAGACUCCUACGGGAGGCAGCAGUGAGGAAUAUUGGACAAUGGGCGAGAGCCUGAUCCAGCCAUGCCGCGUGCAGGAAGACUGCCCUAUGGGUUGUAAACUGCUUUUACAGAGGAAGAACCACCCCACGUGUGGGGGUUUGACGGUACUCUGCGAAUAAGAUCGGCUAACUCCGUG